Molecule: long non-coding RNA, 4498 nt
Organism: Diabrotica virgifera virgifera (western corn rootworm)
Lineage: Eukaryota; Metazoa; Arthropoda; Insecta; Coleoptera; Chrysomelidae
Exons: 3
Source: RefSeq, a predicted model, not a curated record
AUCUUAACCUUACUUUUGUGAUUAUUUAUUUCCAAAUAUGUAAAUAAAUUGAAACAAGUAUUGUAGGUACUUACUGUGUUAUAAUUUAAAACUCUUAAUUAUGUUAGUCUUAAAAAAAAAUGAAGCUCAAAAAAUACACUUGUUUACAGUGCAAAUGAUUUUUUAAUGGCAAUAGGGAUUUAGGAUUUCAUUUGCAGGAAAAACAUGGGCAACCUACCCAGUUGGUAAAAUUGCAAUUCAAAAACUCUUUAGAUUUUACUGUCUGGAUGGCACAGGAAGAGACACAAAAUAAUAUUCAGUACUGCAGUCACAGGAGUACAUAGUAGAGAUAUAAGAAAAAAGCUGUUCAACAUCACCUGACACCGUUUAGUUUUUAGAAAAUGAAAAGUCUUUAGGUUGAAUGCGAUCUGCAGUAUCUUGCAUUGCUACAUAAUGAAUGUGUUUAUAUAUGGUAUUUUUUAUUGAAUAAUCUAUACAGGAACAACUAAAUGAAUGUAUAAAUAUAUUGCAGACAUUACAUUUAGUUUUUUAGAGCAGCAAGUUUUUUUGUGUUUCAACAAGGUCAUUAGUCAUCCAACGAGGAAAUUUGGGAUUUUUUAAUCUUACACGUGGUAUUGAACAAUGGAUAACCCAGUCUGUAAGCAUUCACUUACCCACAAAUCAACACUGGUUGCGGCAUCUUUAUGCCUACAUCCAUCUUUCAAAUCAAUGUCAUAGGAGUGUUUAAUGUUCGUGUUAUCUUUUCUUGUAAGUAAAUCAACUCUCAAUAAUAUUUAAAAAAUGGAUUACUGAUAACAUUUUUGUUUUAAAUUAUAUUGUGUAUAUGUAAAUAUUUUACUUACAUUUUUGAAUAUGCCCAUAAUGUGUUUUAACUUAUGUUACUUGUAUGUAUUGUAAUAUUCCUGCACAACAAUCAGUUUGAAUAUUUUUAGAUGUUAGUAUUUGAUUAGUACACAAAAUGCAGAGAUGUUCUCUCUUCUAUCUUAAGAGCUGAUUUAAUCUCUACUUGUAGGUAUCUGUAAAGUUUAUCAUUUUUCCCAUGAACAAUUUCAACACUUCCGGUUCUUCAGCGUCUAUCCAAACCUGUUACGAUGACGUAAUCAUAUUUCUCUUCUCUUUCUCUAGGUAAUCUAGUCUAGUAAUUAAUUCUCGAACUGUCUUGUUUGUAUUAAAUAUCUUAAUUAUGUACUUAUUUUAUUUUUAUAAUGAAAAUUAAUAAAUCAACCAUAUGCGGCACAAGAUACAAAUGUUUUCGGAAAUAUAUUUAUAAGAAUUUAAUUACCUCUUUUGUAUACGACAUAUACAGGGUGAGUCAUGAAUAACUGUACAUACUCCUACCUCGUAUAGAGGCCCCUAUGGGGAAUAACAAAUGGCCAUUAAGAAAUGUCUGCUCCCAUUGUUUAAUAAUAUACAGGGCGAGUUUCGCAUUUUGACAGAAAUUUGUAUUCGUCAUAAUUUUUGAACGGUCAGAUCGAUGUGUCUCUUAUUUUGGUCAAUCGUUACACUAUUGCCACCUAAUCAACUGAUUUAUUCCAACUAGAAAAAAAUCAGGUCCGGCUUUAAAAAAAUUAGUUCGUUUGGGUCUUAGAAAAAAUUUCACCCUUUAUAAGCUUUUUGAAAACUCUAAUACGAAUUUUACAAAUUACACAAAUAGGGAAUUAAAAUAACAUAUUUAUUUUUUUCCGCACACGAUUGCUUAAUUUUUUAUAAAAAAAUCAAAUUUGAUUAUGAAUUAAAAGUUUGGUAAAGUGAACCAUAGAUUUAACAAAAUUAACUUUUAUUACCAAAAUUAAUUUUUUUGAACAAAUAUUUAAUUUAUGUUACCACCAAUCAACUGAUUUAUUCAAACAAGAAAAAAUCAGGCCCGGAUUUAAAAAAAAAAAGUUCGUUUUGGUCUUAGAAAAAAUUUCACCCUGUAUACGCUUUUUGAAAACUCUAAUAUGAUUUUUACAAAUUAGACAAAUAGGCAAUUAAAAUGGUAUAUUUAUUUUUUCCCCACACGAUUACUUAAUUUUUUAUAAAAAAAAUCAAAUUUGACUAUGAAUAAUUAAAAGUUUGGUAAAGUGAACCAUAGAUUAAAAAAAAUAACUUUUAUUACAAAAAUGAAUUUUUUUUGAACAAAUAUUUAAUUUAUGUUAUCACCCAAUCAACUGAUUUAUUCAAACUAAAAAGAAAUCAGGCCCGGAUUUAAAAAAUUAGUUUGUUUGGGUCUUAGAAAAAAUUUCACCUUGUAUACGUUUUUUGAAAACUCUAAUAUGAAUUUUACAAAUAAGACAAAUAGGCAAUUAAAAUGGCUUAUUUGUUUUUUCCCCACACGAUUACUUAUUUUUUUAUUAAAAAAUCAAAUUUGACUAUGCAUAAAAAGUUUGGCAAAGUUUUUGCAUAGAUUUAAAAAAAUUAACUUUUUUUACAAAAAUUAAUUUACAAAAACAAUGUUUUUCUUAAAAUUAAAAGUUUUACCAUUUUUCUUUUCUACAACACGUCUAGAUCUAAAACUUCUCAUAACACUUCUUUUGGACUCUAUAGUUUAACAUAGACGUGAUCAAAUUUAUAAAUUUUAAAUUUUUCCACCUAAUUUUUGCGAUUUACAAGUUUGCAACUUUUACAAGAAGAAGACUGAAAGUCUACAACAAUUUUCAUAGUCUUCACAAUGGUAAGAGGUAUGUGCUGUAAAAAUUUCAGAAAAAAAAUAUUAAAAUGGAAAAGAGUUGUAGCGAGCUAAACCUUGAGUUCAUUUUUUUUUCAUUUUUAGGUUAAAAUUCCGAUUUUGACAAAUUUGAUUUUUUAAUAAAAAAAUAAGUAAUCGUGUGGGGAAAAAAUAAAUAUGCCAUUUUAAUUUCCUAUUUGUCUUAUUUUAAAAUUCAUAUUAGAGUUUUCAAAAAGCGUAUACACAGUGUGAAAUUUUUUCUAAGACCAAAACGAACAAAUUUUUUAAAUCCGGACCUGAUUUUUCUCUAGUUUGAAUAAAUCAGUUGAUUGGAUGGUAACAUAAAUUACUUAUUUGUGCAAAAAAAAAUAAUUUUUGUAAUAAAAGUUAUUUUUUUUAAAUCUGAGGUUCACUUUACCAAACUUUUAAUUCAUAGUGAAAUUUGAUUUUUUAUAAAAAAUUAAGUAAUCGUGUGCGGAAAAAAAAUAAAUAUGCCAUUUUAAUUGCCUAUUUGUCUAAUUUGUAAAAAUCAUAUUAGAGUUUUCAAAAAGUGUAUACAGGGUGAAAUUUUUUCUAAGACCCAAACGAACUAAUUUUUUUAAAGCCGGACCUGAUUUUUUUCUAGUUUGAAUAAAUUAGUUGAUUAGGUGGUAAUAGUGUAACGAUUGGCCAAAAUAAGAGACACAUCGAUCUGACCGUUCAAAAAUUAUGACGAAUACAAAUUUCUGUCAAAAUGCGAAACUCGCCCUGUAUAUUAUUAAACAAUGAGAGCAGACACUUUUUAAUGGUCAUUUGUUAUUCCCCAUAGGAGCCUCUAUACGAGGUAGGAGUAUGUACAGUUCCUCAUGACUCACCCUGUAUAUAUAAUAAGUAAAAACUAUUUUUAUAGCUAGGAAUUACUUUAUUGAACAGUCUUAAACCUGUUCAUAAAUUUUGUUACUAUAUUUUUUAACUCCGAUUUGUAGGUAGCAAAUAAUAUUUGUUAUUCUUAUCUUAUUUUAAUUAUAUUCAUUUAAGUUUUGAUUUAACAAAUAAACCUAUCAAUCAAAAAACUGUUGUUUAGCUGUGUACACCCAAAAACUAGCUUGAUGUAAUACAGAUGAAUAUGAAGUAAAUACAUGUCAUAAAGACGUCUUUCUAUGGUCAAAAUUUCAUCCUAAAGACGUCAUUUAUAUGUCUUACGUCACAAAAUUACCACAAUAAAACGUUGUCACUAAUUGCUCAAUUUAAUGUCAUUCAAGUUAGAUGUGAUGUAUUGAUGGCAAAUUGGUCAUUAAACCUGACAUCAUAUUUUGGUCAUGUUUAUGUCGCCUAUCAAUUAAGACUAAAAAAACAAGUCACUUCACUCUGUUGGCUGGUCAUUUAGAGGAUUUGAAAUACACGGAUUACUGAAUUUUAAAGAAAGAUGCAUUAAAUAUAAUAAAAAAAGACAACUUAUGACAAUAAAACAUUAACAUCAAAAUUGUUAGUCUUUGUUCUGCUCAUACUUAACAUAAUCGUCCUAUUUGAAGUCCAUAUACUGUGUAAUAAAACUUAAAGCCACUUUGUAGGCGUUUUUGACAUUAUCAUAAUUGUCUUUAAUAGUAAAAUGUAUGUGUAACGCAAUAGAUGUAAAAUUAUUAUUAUUAACACAUUUACGGACACGCUUAGCCUGUAGCCACGUCUUCUUAUGGAGUAAAUGACUUAAAUGUGUUAAAUAAUUAAAACAAACAAUUAUUUUAAUUGCUUUGGCUUUCAAUAUAAACCAGAAUAAUACCACCAUUAAUUUUUAAGUAUAUUAUGUAAGAAAAUAGAAUUUACCUAAUAACUCACCUCGCCCCCAGGUAAAGUAAAGGUGCUGCGUCACUGAAA